AUAAUGUCUGAUAAUCGGAAUGAGAACAAUUUAAAUCCCUUAUCGAGGAUCCAUUGGAGGGCAAGUCUGGUGCCAGCAGCCGCGGUAAUACCAGCUCCAAUAGCGUAUAUUAAAGUUGUUGCGGUUAAAAAGCUCGUAGUUGGAUUUCUGGCUUGGAAUGCCUGGCCAACCUCUUGAUGGGGUCUGUGCUGGAUGCAUUCUUGGUCAUCUUUCAGGUGUUUGCGGUUUUCGUUUAUUCGUUUGCCGUCAAUAGUCCUGAUCUUUUACUUUGAAGAAAUUAGAGUGUUCAAAGCAGGCUUUUCGCUCUGAAUACAUUAGCAUGGAAUAAUAAGAUAGGACUCAGUUGUUCUAUUUUGUUGGUUCCUAGGACCUGAGUAAUGAUUGAUAGGGAUAGUUGGGGAUGCUUAUAUUCAAUGGCCAGAGGUGAAAUUCGCGGAUUCAUUGAAGAUAAACUCAUGCGAAAGCGUCCAUCAAGGAUGUCUUCUUUAAUCAAGAACGAAAGUUGGGGGAUCGAAGACGAUCAGAUACCGUCGUAGUCUCAACCAUAAACUAUGCCAACUAGGGAUUGGCAGACGUUGUUUUUUGACUCUGUCAGCACCUUAUGAGAAAUCAAAGUCUUUGGGUUCCUGGGGGAGUAUGGUCACAAGGCUGAAACUUAAAGGAAUUGACGGAAGGGCACCACCAGGGGUGGAGCCUGCGGCUUAAUUUGACCCAACACGGGAAAACUCACCGGGUCCGGACAUGGCGAGGAUUGACAGAUUGAAGAUCUUUCUUGAUUCUAUGGGUGGUGGUGCAUGGCCGUUCUUAGUUGGUGGAGUGAUUUGUCUGGUUUAUUCCGUUAACGAACGAGACCUCAGCCUACUAAAUAGUAGUGUAAAUUAUUUUUAAUUUAUUGCAACUUCUUAGAGGGACUAUGUGUGUUUCUAGCACAUGGAAGUUUGAGGCAAUAACAGGUCUGUGAUGCCCUUAGAUGUCCCGGGCUGCACGCGCGCUACACUGUUGCAUUCAGCGAGUUCUUAACCCUUGACCGGAAGGUCCGGGUAAUCUUUGAAAUUGCAACGUGAUGGGGCUAGAUUAUUGCAAUUAUUAAUCUCAAACGAGGAAUCCCUAGUAAACGCACGUCAUCAACGUGCAUUGAUUACGUCCCUGCCCUUUGUACACACCGCCCGUCGCUCCUACCGAUUGAAUGGUCCGGUGAAACCUCAGGAUUGGCGUCUCGUUGUGGACUCCACGACUUGAUGCACAAGA
RNAcentral lists this ribosomal RNA (1248 nucleotides) under metagenome. RNAcentral describes it as "SSU rRNA". It matches the Rfam family "Eukaryotic small subunit ribosomal RNA", at positions 495 to 1752 of the family's 1831-position model. The record is from RNAcentral.